UACGUAGGGUGCAAGCGUUGUCCGGAAUUAUUGGGCGUAAAGAGCUCGUAGGCGGUUCGUCGCGUCGGCUGUGAAAACCCGGAGCUCAACUCCGGGCCUGCAGUCGAUACGGGCGGACUGGAGUGUUGCAGGGGAGACUGGAAUUCCUGGUGUAGCGGUGAAAUGCGUAGAGCUCGGGAAGAACAUCGGUGGCGAAAGCGCUCUACUGGACUGCAACUGACACUCAGGGACGAAAGCUAGGGGAGCGAAUGGG
Molecule: ribosomal RNA, 253 nt
Filed under: uncultured bacterium
Lineage: Bacteria
Description: partial 16S ribosomal RNA
Rfam family: Bacterial small subunit ribosomal RNA
Source: RNAcentral